Molecule: ribosomal RNA, 253 nt
Filed under: uncultured bacterium
Lineage: Bacteria
Description: partial 16S ribosomal RNA
Rfam family: Bacterial small subunit ribosomal RNA
Source: RNAcentral
UACGGGGGGGGCAAGCGUUGUUCGGAAUUACUGGGCGUAAAGGGCUUGUAGGCGGCCAACUAAGUCAGACGUGAAAUCCCUCGGCUUAACCGGGGAACUGCGUCUGAUACUGGAUGGCUAGAGAUUGGGAGAGGGAUGCGGAAUUCCAGGUGUAGCGGUGAAAUUCGUAGAUAUCGGGAGGAACACCAGUGGCGAAGGCGGCGAUCUGGGAAGAUACUGACGCUGAGGUGCGAAAGCGUGGGGAGCAAACAGG